Molecule: ribosomal RNA, 468 nt
Filed under: uncultured bacterium
Lineage: Bacteria
Description: partial 16S ribosomal RNA
Rfam family: Bacterial small subunit ribosomal RNA
Source: RNAcentral
GACGAACGCUGGCGGCGUGCUUAACACAUGCAAGUCGAACGGGAAGGCCCUGCUGUUGUGGGGUGCUCAAGUGGCGAAAGGGUGAUUAACAAGUGGUUAACCUGCCCUGGACUAUGGGAUAACUUCAGGAAACUGGGGCUAGUACCGGAUAGGAGCUCCUGCUUCAUGGCGUGGGUUGGCAAGUUUCGACGGUUGGGGAUGUACUCGCGGCAGAUCAGCUUGCUGGUGAGGUACUAGAUUAGCAAGUCUUUGACCGGUAGCCGGGCUGAGAGGGUGACCGGACCGGUUGGGACUGAGAUACGGCACGGACCACUCCGGGACGCAGCGGUGCAGAGUAUUGCACUGUGGAAUGAAGCCUGAUGCAGUAAAGCCGCGUGCGGGAUAACGGCAUUCGGGUUGUAACCCGCAUUCGCCUGUGAUGAAGAGUGAAUGACAGUAAUAGGUAAAGAAGCACCGGCUAACUACGUG